This 468-nucleotide ribosomal RNA is filed under the name uncultured bacterium. RNAcentral describes it as "partial 16S ribosomal RNA". It matches the Rfam family "Bacterial small subunit ribosomal RNA", at positions 28 to 507 of the family's 1533-position model. The record is from RNAcentral.
GAUGAACGCUGGCGGCGUGCUUAACACAUGCAAGUCGAACGGAAAGGCCCUGCUUUUGUGGGGUGCUCGAGUGGCGAACGGGUGAGUAACACGUGAGUAACCUGCCCUUGACUUUGGGAUAACUUCAGGAAACUGGGGCUAAUACCGGAUAGGAGCUCCUGCUGCAUGGUGGGGGUUGGAAAGUUUCGGCGGUUGGGGAUGGACUCGCGGCUUAUCAGCUUGUUGGUGGGGUAGUGGCUUACCAAGGCUUUGACGGGUAGCCGGCCUGAGAGGGUGACCGGCCACAUUGGGACUGAGAGACGGCCCAGACUCCUACGGGAGGCAGCAGUGGGGAAUAUUGCACAAUGGGCGGAAGCCUGAUGCAGCAACGCCGCGUGCGGGAUGACGGCCUUCGGGUUGUAAACCGCUUUCGCCUGUGACGAAGCGUGAGUGACGGUAAUGGGUAAAGAAGCACCGGCUAACUACGUG